This 324-nucleotide ribosomal RNA is filed under the name uncultured eukaryote. RNAcentral's name for it is "partial 18S ribosomal RNA". It matches the Rfam family "Eukaryotic small subunit ribosomal RNA", at positions 1470 to 1796 of the family's 1831-position model. The record is from RNAcentral.
CCCUUAGAUGUUCUGGGCUGCACGCGCGCUACACUGAAGCUAUCAACACGUUUUCCCUCCCUGAGAAGGGCGGGUAACCUUUUGAAUCAGCUUCGUGGUAGGGAUCGGGGCUUGCAAUUGUUCCCCGUGAACCAGGAAUUCCUAGUAGACGCGAGUCAUAAGCUCGCAUCGAUUAAGUCCCUGCCCUUUGUACACACCGCCCGUCGCUACUACCGAUUGAACGUUUUAGUGAGGCAUUUGGACCGACGCAUCUCAGUUUAACCGCUGGUUUGUGUGGGAAAGACUUCCAAACUUGAGCGUUUAGAGGAAGUAAAAGUCGUAACA